AUGACUGGCCCGUCAGAUUCGUCCUCUACCAGCAAUCUGGAGAUGCAGUCCUUACAACUUGAUGUCCAAACACUGCAGAAAAAUCGAGAGCAUGACAGACAGGACUUUGAGGAUUUCGGGGACCAUGUGCAAGACAAUUUCCAGUCCAUGCAAAAAACUUUAGGGGAACUACAGGGCACACUUAAAAAAUUUAUCUCAGGUUUUUCCAAGCCACGAGAAACCCCACCCAAUCCCCAAGAUGUCCCUCGGGGCAGUGGCCAAAAUUAUACACCGCAAGGCCCAGUUCUUCGGCCAGUCAAUGGCCUCCAAACCCCUCCUACUGCAGGUUCUGUAACCUUGGUGGAUAAGCACACUGGAAAAGAACUCAACUUGGAUGGCACCACCAAAAUUCCUUACAGGCACCCCCACUUUGCUGACAACAGACUUCCUCCACAUGAUGCAAGAGCAACUACUGCAAUUCCUCAAACAGGAAACUUGCAAGAAAUCACUCAGAUAGAGCAUGAGCAAGGUGAGGAGCAGGCUCAGCAACUAGCUGGCAGAGGGGGUAUUGUACAGAGAGACCAAGUCCAAGACAAGAAAAGACUUCUGACUCUGGUGAAACCUGCUAAGUAUAACAUACCAGAGUUUGAUGGCAGUGGAACUGACUCAUGGAUACAAAUCAUUGAAAUGUACUUUGAAGCUGCUAGCACACCACUGGAGCAGAAAAUUGAAAUUGUUGUCACUUACUUAAAGGGACCAGCAAUAGAAUGGUGGAGAGGAACUGGAAUUAUAGCCAACACACUACCUUGGUACAGGUUUUGUAGGCUUAUUGGGGACAGGUUUUCAGAAACCUCAGUAUGUGACGAUGUCAGAACUUUUCAUGCCCUCAACCAGACUGGCUCUGUCAAUGAUUAUGUGCUAAAAUUUGAACAGUCCAUGAACUUGCUCAGAAGGGACAACCCUGCUUUACCUGCUGAUUACUACAAAGCAAGUUUCAUUGCUGGCCUGAUUGAUACUAUCCAGCAUUAUGUUCAAUGCCAUGAACCAGCUGACUUACAAAAAGCUAUUUGA
Molecule: ribosomal RNA, 1050 nt
Filed under: Triticum aestivum (bread wheat)
Lineage: Eukaryota; Viridiplantae; Streptophyta; Magnoliopsida; Poales; Poaceae
Description: partial small subunit ribosomal RNA
Source: RNAcentral